This 345-nucleotide unclassified non-coding RNA is filed under the name soil metagenome. RNAcentral describes it as "partial contains 5.8S ribosomal RNA, internal transcribed spacer 2, and large subunit ribosomal RNA". The stretch from base 1 to 120 matches the Rfam family "5.8S ribosomal RNA", at positions 35 to 154 of the family's 154-position model. The record is from RNAcentral.
GAUGAAGAACGCAGCGAAAUGCGAUAGGUAAUGUGAAUUGCAGAAUUCAGUGAAUCAUCGAAUCUUUGAACGCACAUUGCGCCCUUUGGUAUUCCUUAGGGCAUGCCUGUCCGAGCGUCAUUGCUGCCCUCAAGCACGGCUUGUGUGUUGGGCCUCCGUCCUCCUCCCGGGGGACGGGCCCGAAAGGCAGCGGCGGCACCGCGUCCGGUCCCCGAGCGUAUGGGGCUUCGUCACCCGCUCUUGUAGGCCCGGCCGGCGCUUGCCGACACAUCAAUCUUUUUUCCAGGUUGACCUCGGAUCAGGUAGGGAUACCCGCUGAACUUAAGCAUAUCAAUAAGCGGAGGA